GUGGCUGGUUUAGCAAUAAGCCUCGGUAGAUUUGUUCACCUAAACCACUUGGUGAUUACUGUUUGGAGUACCUUAAAUAAGAGUAGAGACCUCUCCAACUUGGUUCUGCCCCUUAAUUUUACUUUCAUGAUGGAGAAAUUUUGCAAGUCCAUUCACUCAACCAUGUUUUCUAGUAAUUUAGUGGUUUUUGGUUCAUAACUAGAAUCAGAAUUGGCAUGGGAAUCGGAAUAGAUUGGAAUCAAAAUUGAAAUGGCCAAAUCUCCGAAAGUGUUUGGUUCG
RNAcentral lists this long non-coding RNA (279 nucleotides) under Elaeis guineensis (African oil palm). Its description in RNAcentral is "long non-coding RNA (EGUI_LNC004671)". The record is from RNAcentral. Lineage: Eukaryota; Viridiplantae; Streptophyta; Magnoliopsida; Arecales; Arecaceae.